CCUCCAUCAUAAAGGAACCCUGAAAAACAUUUUCCCCUCUAAUGAGGCAGAGACAAAGUCUUAAGGAAGCCAUAGGGCAGAGUGACCAACAGAGAAGUUAGGAUACACACCGCAGUGCAAGGUUUUCUGCUCCCCAAAAUGAGGCCUGUUUACGGAGAGAGAGUCAACAUCCCCUAAG
Long non-coding RNA from Mustela erminea (ermine), 178 nucleotides. RefSeq lists it as uncharacterized. The transcript is spliced from 3 exons. NCBI's taxonomy places the organism in Eukaryota, Metazoa, Chordata, Mammalia, Carnivora, Mustelidae. The record is from RefSeq and is a predicted model, not a curated record.